AUGAUGGUCAACUUCACCCAUUCAUAUGAGAAAACCAUGGUUGAGAGUGUACCGGCAGUGUUGGAGUGGUGGUUGGAUUUGAUCGGUAACAAGGACAUGUUGCCAUUGUCUGUCGGGCCCAAUUCUUCUGAAUUUAGAUGUUUAAGCUUGAACAGCGAUAGCUAUUUCGUUUUUGGAGAUUAUGAAAAAAGACGGUGCAACUGUUCUCAAGGAUACGAGGGCAACCCUUACAUCACUGAUGGGUGCCAAGGUAUGUUACCAGUACUUUCUGCUGCAUUCUUACAUAGUUGCGGUAGUUAUAACAUUACGAAAGAACAUGCAUGUGCUGUCUUAGCUUUUUGCAUUCGAUGUAUAAAACCCCCUGCUUUCCAACAGUGUGUUUUUUCCCCUUCAGAUAUUAAUGAGUGCCUACAACCAGAUGUUUAUCCCUGCAAUGGGACCUGCAUCAAUAUGCCAGGGACAUACCAAUGCUCAGCAAAGAAAAGAAUCAUCACUUUACCAGGUACAAAAACACACACUUGA
This 522-nucleotide ribosomal RNA is filed under the name Triticum aestivum (bread wheat). RNAcentral's name for it is "partial small subunit ribosomal RNA". Lineage: Eukaryota; Viridiplantae; Streptophyta; Magnoliopsida; Poales; Poaceae. The record is from RNAcentral.